UUCAAAGGCACAUUUUUUUCCAGAGGCUUCGUCAAUGAAAAAUUCUAUAACAUCUUCAAAUAUGAGGAUUAAGCUUUCAGUCUUUUAGUUAAAGAUUUUGGUUUUGUGUCUCAGAACGUGCUGUUGCCAGGAAGAGCUUUCUACUUCCAUGUUUUUGUAUCUCAGUGAUACUUUGUGUACCUUGAGUACUAGUUUAUUAGCUACGAGGUGAUGCUGCUGCUUAUUAGAUCCUGUGGACAGUUUAAACAGUAAUUAGCAGAUAUGAUUGCAAGUAAUUGCACAGCAACUAAUAGAUUAGGUGUGAUUUCUAGGAGGAUAACUUUCCAUCUCUUGGUCUGUAUAGAAGUGAGAAGUCCAAUAGGUGGAAAAGGAAGAAUGACUUUUAACCAAUAAUUUUUAUUAACUUCAUUGUUCAAAUUGAAGACUCUAAGAUAGAAUUGAGUAUAAUUAUCAUCUGCAAUGACACAUGUGAUGGCACACGUUUGUUUUGAACAAGACGUUAAAAAGAGUGAUUGAAUUUGCAAGAGUGACAAUUGUGACAAUUGAUAAUUGCAGAGAUGUUGCCUCCAUCAUUUUCGCAGACUAAGGACACGUCUGAAUGAGAAACGGUGCCCGAUGCUCGGAGCAACAGGAGUCCACCCCCAGGAAAUCUUGGAGAGAAGUCUGGGUUGGUUUUAGCUGGAUCAGAAGAAUUACAAAGAAAAAUCAAUUUUCCUGACAAAGAGCUGAUUUGAACAAGGGGCCAGAAGACAGAAGUACUGUGAGAAAUUAGUGUUGAAUGGAUCUACAACAGAACACUGCAUCUGCAGAAAAGAAGGUCAUAAUAAUUAGAGAUAUGUGGAAAAAGGCAGUAAUUUAUGUUGGUGUCUGAACUCUUAAAUAAUAUUUAAGGUGAAAAUUGGCCUGAUUUCGAAUGAAAUAUUCUGUGCUCAGAUCUUCUUUCUAAAUGUAAUGUAGCUAAAUAUAGACUCAGAACAUUGUUUCAAAACAUUGUUUUUCCACUUAAGGAAAAAAAAAAAAAAAAAAAAAAAACCUUUUGAGUUCCCUUGUCCUCCUCUCAUUUUCCCUAAAAUUCUGCCAAAUUUAAUCUGCUUUUACAAAGAGAGCUAGGCAUCUUGUAUUUUUGUAUCAAAUAAAUCAUUCACUCUAAAGGUUUUCAUCCAGCUAAUAAUACAAAUGACCAGAACAGACUGUGCUUUAUACCUUCUAACUGAAGGAGUCAUGUUUCUGACUCUGCUGCUAACUACAGAGCAAGGAGCCCCAGACCUGCCUGCACCCAUCCCAUCCCUUGAAUUCAGAGAAAUAAGAAAUUGAUUUUUGCAACAGAUUAGAUGGAUAAGCAAAUUUUUUGUUGUUGUUGUUGCAAUUCCAGACUUCUCCAAAGCUUACUGGAAUUCAUAUUUUACUGGGUUUUUGUGAGGUAUCUCACACAGUUCCCCCUCCCUCGCUGUGCUGGUGGAUUUACACCCAUGGUUCCCAAGCUCAUGAACUUUGCUUUGCCUUAUUUCCCUCAAGUGAUGGAAUUGUGGACAGAUUUUGGAGUCCCAUCACUGCAAUGCAAAAUAAUAUAUUUUCUCCUGCUAAUAAGUGGAAGCCUGAGGAUUAUUUGGGUUGUUUGCUGCCAGAGUGCUGCACUGAAGCUAGGGAUGGGACAGACACUCAUUAUCUAAACCGUUGUUUUCCCCCAUAUUCCUUUCAGCUGUUCUAGAAUUUGUAUUCUAGUUAUACAAAAUAAAAUUCCUGGGCUGACCCUGGCAGACAACACCAGUUUCAAGCCUGCCUUCCACCAUUUUAGUGUGAAAAUGUGGCUGGAAGACAUCCAAAACUCUGAAGGUUUGUUUCUGUGUAAGACGUGUAAUAUCCAGCUGCCUUUGACUGAAUUUAAUGGCGUAUUUGUAUUUGAAAAAAUCAAUAAGGUUUAUGAGCUGAAGAGGGAUCCAGUGUAACCAGAUCUGUCACUUUUAUGGACACCUUCUGCAAUUCCUUGUGACACAGGAAUCAGGCUAUAGAAACCAUCCUACGCGCCCCUGCAAAACAAGAUUUAGUGCUGUAAACCUCACUGGAGCAGCUCAAGGAGAGGUACAAUGAUAGAGAACAAAGGAGAGCACUGAGAAACAACCCACCACUAAUCAGCCUAGAAGGCCAAUAAGAUCUGAUAGGUUUCUGCAAUAAAACUACCCAAAACCUCCCAGUGGAUUUUCAUACAAUAGAAAUCAAAAGGGCACAUUAGUCAUAAGGCAAGAGAGACACCAAGGGAAAACUUCCUGCUGUCAUGCUUUAAACAGCUUUCUUCUUUAGACAAAAUAGCCAUCAUGCAAAGUUCGUAACGAAUAAAAGUUUUCACUCUUUGUUGAGGUCCAGUCCAAGGUCUGUGCAGCAUUUAAGCCAUACUAUUAUGAGGCCAUAAACGGGGCACUAGUUAUAAAUUAUUUCUUAUUGCUAUUGCCUUUGAGACACCAUAAUACAUAAUGAUCUGUCAUCAACAUUUAUAAAAUACUUCUACUGGAGCAGGCGGACUUUAGUUCCUUUUCAGACUAGUCCUGCUGAUUUCAAUCAUGUCUGUGGUUAUAUCAAAGGUUUAAUUUGCUUUUCACUCCACAUUUCUGUACUUUGCUAGAUUAUCUGGAACCUCUCAUCACAGGGAGGGAAGAUAUAGUGAGAAAUGGAUGGAAUCUUUCCCUUUUUCCUCAUGACAAUUUGUGCUGGUCUCUAAAAAUUAUAUGUUGCUUAAGGCAGCAUCACCACAGAGUUCUCCCAGCACAGUGCCUGUGUGUCUUUGCACUGGAGCAUGUGGCUGCUGAAGGACAGGCACUGGAAAUCUUUAUGAAGCUCAUGCUGCACAGCCACGUGUCCAAUGCAGUGCUUUGUUUGGCCUGAGAUAAGAUUUCUUUUCCUUUGAACUUCUGUUAAGUGUUUGCAAAAUAUUCAUUAUUCCUCAAAGAAAGAAUUUCAUACAGUGUCAAUCACUCCUAGUAAGUCUUGUGUUUAUUUGUAAUCCUGUUUUGUUUUAACCUAAAGUCAAAAAUUCACAAAUAUCUGAUGGGAUUAUUAACACAAAACUGCACAAAGUCCUUUCUUUCAUUUCACAUAAUAAGCAUGAAAACUUAUGUGAGAACUGGUCUUCUGUUGAGUUAAAUUUACAUUUUGUGGAACUUACUACAAUGUGACAUAUUUAAGUUUGUAACUACUGUUUCCAAAAUUUCCAAAAGAGAACAGUCUAUUUUAGCAUUUGAUGCCAAUAAAACAAAAAGACUCAUCUUUACCCAUCUGAAAUUAGUGAUUUUUUCCCGCUGCCUUUUAUAAAGAUAAAACAUAUGCAUUAUCUGUUUUAUUUGAAUGAUAAGAGACUGGCACUGCAUAUCUGACAGAAUAGGCUUGUAUCUUUUGAUGUUCACUAACAGUAAAUAAUAAUUAAUACUUUUUUCAUUGGAUGUGGGACUGUAAGCAGUAAAGACAGUUCUUAAUCAUAG
This 3470-nucleotide long non-coding RNA is filed under the name Gallus gallus (chicken). Its description in RNAcentral is "lncRNA (ENSGALG00010015661.1)". Lineage: Eukaryota; Metazoa; Chordata; Aves; Galliformes; Phasianidae. The record is from RNAcentral.